UAAACGCUAGCGGCAGGCCUAACACAUGCAAGUCGAGGGGUAACGAUGUCUUCGGACAGGCGACGACCGGCGCACGGGUGAGUAUCGCGUUUGUAACCUACCUUUAACUGGAGAAUAGCCCGAAGAAAUUCGGAUUAAUACUCCAUAAUACUAUGAACUGGCAUCUUUUUAUAGUUAAAGCUCCGGCGGUUAAAGAUGGGCAUGCGUAACAUUAGAUAGUUGGUGAGGUAACGGCUCACCAAGUCUACGAUGUUUAGGGGGUCUGAGAGGAUGGUCCCCCACACUGGUACUGAGACACGGACCAGACUCCUACGGGAGGCAGCAGUGAGGAAUAUUGGUCAAUGGGCGCAAGCCUGAACCAGCCAUGCCGCGUGAAGGAUGACAGCGCUACGCGUUGUAAACUUCUUUUGUACAGGAAGAAACUCUCCUACGUGUAGGAGCUUGACGGUACUGUACGAAUAAGCACCGGCUAACUCC
Molecule: ribosomal RNA, 477 nt
Filed under: uncultured bacterium
Lineage: Bacteria
Description: bacterial SSU rRNA
Rfam family: Bacterial small subunit ribosomal RNA
Source: RNAcentral